This 469-nucleotide long non-coding RNA is filed under the name Homo sapiens (human). Its description in RNAcentral is "CNOT10 antisense RNA 1 (CNOT10-AS1)". The record is from RNAcentral. Lineage: Eukaryota; Metazoa; Chordata; Mammalia; Primates; Hominidae.
GAAGAAGGUGGAGCUGGAAUGAAUUUAUCUCCAUCAUGGCUUUUACUGCUAAAAUAGAGGCCAUGAAAACUGAUCCAAAUGGCUAGAUACGAAGAUGCAACAGAUGAAAACAAACUGGCCCACGAUGGAAUGGAACUAAAAAACGUAGAAUAAUAAUCCAUACCUUCAAGCACCGAUAGCCAGAAAGUGUGCCAGAUAAGUUUUAAGGUAAAAGGAUCAUACAUAAUUAAAAUAUUGGGACUAUUUUUGUUUAGCAGAUCUUUUCCCAUAUUUAUACACUGCCCAGGUAAAUAUAAGCCUUGCCUCUGCCAAGUCUGAAAUAAUAUGUACCAGAUAUUCAGGACAAAAUGUCCUCCUUAGCAUAAACAAGUUAAUUUUUUUAAAUCCAAAAUGAAUUUAUUUCUGAAGGUACAAACUACUUUGUUCAGCAUACCUCCUGUCCUGACUAAAUAAAACAAAUUUUAUGGAA